UACAGAGACUGCAAGCGUUAUUCGGAUUCACUGGGCGUAAAGGGUGCGCAGGCGGUUGGGUGUGUCAGAUGUGAAAUCCCGAGGCUUAACCUCGGAACUGCGUCUGAAACUACUCGACUAGAGUACUGGAGAGGGAAACGGAAUUCACGGUGUAGCAGUGAAAUGCGUAGAUAUCGUGAGGAACACCAGAGGCGAAGGCGGUUUCCUGGACAGUUACUGACGCUGAGGUGCGAAAGCGUGGGGAGCAAACAGG
This 253-nucleotide ribosomal RNA is filed under the name uncultured bacterium. RNAcentral's name for it is "partial 16S ribosomal RNA". It matches the Rfam family "Bacterial small subunit ribosomal RNA", at positions 524 to 776 of the family's 1533-position model. The record is from RNAcentral.